GUGGGGAAUAUUGGACAAUGGGGGCAACCCUGAUCCAGCCAUGCCGCGUGUGUGAAGAAGGCCUUUUGGUUGUAAAGCACUUUAAGCAGUGAAGAAGACUCUAUGGUUAAUACCCAUAGACGAUGACAUUAGCUGCAGAAUAAGCACCGGCUAACUCUGUGCCAGCAGCCGCGGUAAUACAGAGGGUGCAAGCGUUAAUCGGAAUUACUGGGCGUAAAGCGAGCGUAGGUGGCUUAAUAAGUCAGAUGUGAAAUCCCCGGGCUUAACCUGGGAACUGCAUCUGAUACUGUUGGGCUAGAGUAGGUGAGAGGGAGGUAGAAUUUCAGGUGUAGCGGUGAAAUGCGUAGAGAUCUGAAGGAAUACCGAUGGCGAAGGCAGCCUCCUGGCAUCAUACUGACACUGAGGUUCGAAAGCGUGGGUAGCAAACAGG
Molecule: ribosomal RNA, 430 nt
Filed under: uncultured bacterium
Lineage: Bacteria
Description: bacterial SSU rRNA
Rfam family: Bacterial small subunit ribosomal RNA
Source: RNAcentral